GAUGAACGCUGGCGGCGUGCCUCAAACAUGCAAGUCGAGCGGGGCUAUGUAAUAUCGCAAGGUAGAACAUAGCCUAGCGGCGAACGGGUGAGUAACACGUGGGUAACCUGCCUGGAAGACAGGGAUAACGAUUCGAAAGGGUCGCUAAUACCUGAUAAUAUCCUUUCAUCGCAUGGUGAUAGGAAGAAAGGGGAAACCCGCUUUCAGAUGGGCCCGCGUCCCAUCAGCUAGUUGGUAAGGUAAAGGCUUACCAAGGCGACGACGGGUAGCCGGUCUGAGAGGAUGUACGGCCACACUGGGACUGAGAUACGGCCCAGACUCCUACGGGAGGCAGCAGUUGGGAAUCUUAGGCAAUGGACGAAAGUCUGACCUAGCGACGCCGCGUGAGGGAAGAAGGCCUUCGGGUUGUAAACCUCUGUCAUGGGGAAGAAGUAAGUGACGGUACCCCAAGAGGAAGCCCCUGCUAACUACGUGCCAGCAGCCGCGGUAAGAGUACUCUAU
RNAcentral lists this ribosomal RNA (501 nucleotides) under uncultured bacterium. Its description in RNAcentral is "bacterial SSU rRNA". It matches the Rfam family "Bacterial small subunit ribosomal RNA", at positions 28 to 530 of the family's 1533-position model. The record is from RNAcentral.